RNAcentral lists this ribosomal RNA (374 nucleotides) under uncultured prokaryote. RNAcentral's name for it is "bacterial SSU rRNA". It matches the Rfam family "Bacterial small subunit ribosomal RNA", at positions 524 to 896 of the family's 1533-position model. The record is from RNAcentral.
UACGUAGGGUGCGAGCGUUAAUCGGAAUUACUGGGCGUAAAGCGUGCGCAGGCGGUUCGCCAAGUCAGGUGUGAAAUCCCCGGGCUUAACCUGGGAAUUGCGCUUGAAACUAGCGAGCUUGAGUGUGGCAGAGGGGGGUGGAAUUCCACGUGUAGCAGUGAAAUGCGUAGAGAUGUGGAGGAACACCGAUGGCGAAGGCAGCCCCCUGGGUCAACACUGACGCUCAUGCACGAAAGCGUGGGGAGCAAACAGGAUUAGAUACCCUGGUAGUCCACGCCCUAAACGAUGUCGACUAGGUGUUGGGGAAGGAGACUUCCUUAGUACCGCAGCUAACGCGUGAAGUCGACCGCCUGGGGAGUACGGUCGCAAGAUUA